GGAUAGGUGGGAGGCUUUGAAGUGUGGACGCCAGUCUGCAUGGAGCCGACCUUGAAAUACCACCCUUUAAUGUUUGAUGUUCUAACGUUGGCCCCUAAUCGGGGUUGCGGACAGUGUCUGGUGGGUAGUUUGACUGGGGCGGUCUCCUCCUAAAGAGUAACGGAGGAGCACGAAGGUUGGCUAAUCCUGGUCGGACAUCAGGAGGUUAGUGCAAUGGCAUAAGCCAGCUUGACUGCGAGCGUGACGGCGCGAGCAGGUGCGAAAGCAGGUCAUAGUGAUCCGGUGGUUCUGAAUGGAAGGGCCAUCGCUCAACGGAUAAAAGGUACUCCGGGGAUAACAGGCUGAUACCGCCCAAGAGUUCAUAUCGACGGCGGUGUUUGGCACCUCGAUGUCGGCUCAUCACAUCCUGGGGCUGAAGUAGGUCCCAAGGGUAUGGCUGUUCGCCAUUUAAAGUGGUACGCGAGCUGGGUUUAGAACGUCGUGAGACAGUUCGGUCCCUAUCUGCCGUGGGCGCUGGAGAACUGAGGGGGGCUGCUCCUAGUACGAGAGGACCGGAGUGGACGCAUCACUGGUGUUCGGGUUGUCAUGCCAAUGGCACUGCCCGGUAGCUAAAUGCGGAAGAGAUAAGUGCUGAAAGCAUCUAAGCACGAAACUUGCCCCG
Molecule: ribosomal RNA, 661 nt
Filed under: Escherichia coli
Lineage: Bacteria; Pseudomonadati; Pseudomonadota; Gammaproteobacteria; Enterobacterales; Enterobacteriaceae
Description: partial 23S ribosomal RNA
Rfam family: Bacterial large subunit ribosomal RNA
Source: RNAcentral